This 258-nucleotide long non-coding RNA is filed under the name Physcomitrium patens. Its description in RNAcentral is "long non-coding RNA (PPAT_LNC005609)". The record is from RNAcentral. Lineage: Eukaryota; Viridiplantae; Streptophyta; Bryopsida; Funariales; Funariaceae.
CAAGCUAACUACUUUUUAAAAAAUAUUUUUUUUUAACUAACUAGCGGAUGGAUAGAUAAAUAAAAAAACCUCAUUAGUCCUAAAAAUCCUAAAUUCCAAGACCAUAACCCACAAAAACCUUUAUGUCUUUCAAUCUAAUACUUCAAUCAAAUCCAAAUUCAUAGCACACAUCAAAUACAACUGUACCUACAAACCUAGAAAUUUUUUCUUAUAGAUCUAUUGCCAAACUUACAAAAUUCUUCAAAAAGUAUCACCCAU